This 490-nucleotide ribosomal RNA is filed under the name uncultured bacterium. RNAcentral describes it as "partial 16S ribosomal RNA". It matches the Rfam family "Bacterial small subunit ribosomal RNA", at positions 28 to 507 of the family's 1533-position model. The record is from RNAcentral.
GAUGAACGCUAGCUACAGGCUUAACACAUGCAAGUCGCGGGGCAGCAUGGGGGUUGCUUGCACUCCCCGAUGGCGACCGGCGCACGGGUGAGUAACGCGUAUCCAACCUGCCCUUCACCACGGGAUAACCCGGCGAAAGUCGGACUAAUACCGUAUGUUGUCCAUUGACGGCCUCCGAUUUGGACGAAAGGUUUGGCGGUGAAGGAUGGGGAUGCGUCCGAUUAGCUGGACGGCGGGGUGACGGCCCACCGUGGCGACGAUCGGUAGGGGUUCUGAGAGGAAGGUCCCCCACACUGGAACUGAGACACGGUCCAGACUCCUACGGGAGGCAGCAGUGAGGAAUAUUGGUCAAUGGGCGUAAGCCUGAACCAGCCAAGUAGCGUGCAGGAUGACGGCCCUAUGGGUUGUAAACUGCUUUUAUGCGGGGAUAAAGUGGCCCACGUGUGGGUUUUUGCAGGUACCGCAUGAAUAAGGACCGGCUAAUUCCGUG